RNAcentral lists this non-coding RNA (120 nucleotides) under Pseudoxanthomonas indica. RNAcentral's name for it is "SAM-I sequence". It matches the Rfam family "SAM riboswitch aptamer (S box leader)". Rfam says of the family: The SAM riboswitch is found upstream of a number of genes which code for proteins involved in methionine or cysteine biosynthesis in Gram-positive bacteria. The record is from Rfam by way of RNAcentral. Lineage: Bacteria; Pseudomonadati; Pseudomonadota; Gammaproteobacteria; Lysobacterales; Lysobacteraceae.
UCACCAUCGAGACCGGCAGAGGGACAGGCCCUUUGAAGCCGGGGCAACCAGACGACGCGCAAGCGGCGUGGACGGUGCCAAAUCCUGCGGGGACCUCAGCGUCUGCCCGAAAGAUGGUUC